Molecule: ribosomal RNA, 247 nt
Filed under: uncultured archaeon
Lineage: Archaea
Description: partial 16S ribosomal RNA
Rfam family: Archaeal small subunit ribosomal RNA
Source: RNAcentral
CCGACGGUGAGAGGUGAAAGCUGGGGGCACGAACCGGAUUAGAUACCCGGGUAGUCCCAGCCGUAAACGAUGCUCGCUAGGUGUCUGGGAUGGUGCGACCGUUUCAGGUGCCGCAGGGAAGCCGUGAAGCGAGUCACCUGGGAAGUACGGCCGCAAGGCUGAAACUUAAAGGAAUUGGCGGGGGAGCACUACAACGGGUGGAGCCUGCGGUUUAAUUGGACUCAACGCCGGAAAACUCACCUGGGGC